UACGUAGGGUGCAAGCGUUAAUCGGAAUUACUGGGCGUAAAGCGUGCGCAGGCGGUUAUGUAAGACAGGGGUGAAAUCCCAGGGCUUAACCUUGGAACUGCAUUUGUGACUGCAUAGCUAGAGUACGGUAGAGGGGGAUGGAAUUCCGCGUGUAGCAGUGAAAUGCGUAGAUAUGCGGAGGAACACCGAUGGCGAAGGCGGCUUCCUGGACCGACACUGACGCUGAGGCGCGAAAGCUAGGGGAGCAAACGGG
RNAcentral lists this ribosomal RNA (253 nucleotides) under uncultured prokaryote. RNAcentral describes it as "partial 16S ribosomal RNA". It matches the Rfam family "Bacterial small subunit ribosomal RNA", at positions 524 to 776 of the family's 1533-position model. The record is from RNAcentral.